GGGCCGGUAGUUUAGACUGGUAGAAUACCUGCCUUGCAUGCUACUACAGGCAGAGGAUACGUAGGUGGUCGUGGGUUCAAAUCCCACCCGGUCCA
This 95-nucleotide transfer RNA is filed under the name Candidatus Nitrosocosmicus franklandianus. RNAcentral's name for it is "Candidatus Nitrosocosmicus franklandus tRNA". It matches the Rfam family "tRNA". From Rfam's summary of the family: Transfer RNA (tRNA) molecules are approximately 80 nucleotides in length. Their secondary structure includes four short double-helical elements and three loops (D, anti-codon, and T loops). Further hydrogen bonds mediate the characteristic L-shaped molecular structure. tRNAs have two regions of fundamental functional importance: the anti-codon, which is responsible for specific mRNA codon recognition, and the 3' end, to which the tRNAs corresponding amino acid is attached (by aminoacyl-tRNA synthetases). tRNAs cope with the degeneracy of the genetic code in two manners: having more than one tRNA (with a specific anti-codon) for a particular amino acid; and 'wobble' base-pairing, i.e. permitting non-standard base-pairing at the 3rd anti-codon position. Lineage: Archaea; Thermoproteati; Nitrososphaerota; Nitrososphaeria; Nitrososphaerales; Nitrososphaeraceae. The record is from Rfam by way of RNAcentral.